GAUAAUACUCACAUUGCUCUAUUUCAAAAGAAAAUCUAUUGAAGCAACCAAGAUUUAGAAGAUUGGACACUACAAGUCUUGAAGGAUGGGCUUUCAAGUUAGUUAAAGCUGAAGGACCAAGUCCAUAAAGUUUAGAAGCUAUCUACAAAUUCCAACAAUAGCAAAGUGCAUAAUUGAAAAGGUUCUGCAGCUGAAUCUAGGCAUGUACGUUCAUUCGUUUUACAAGUUUUUGAAAAUAACGAUUAGUCUGUGUAAGUACAAGUAUGGUGGAAGC
Long non-coding RNA from Quercus robur (English oak), 274 nucleotides. RefSeq lists it as uncharacterized. The record is from RefSeq and is a predicted model, not a curated record. Lineage: Eukaryota; Viridiplantae; Streptophyta; Magnoliopsida; Fagales; Fagaceae. The transcript is spliced from 3 exons.